AUUGCCAGACAGCCACUAGAGGGCUUCCUGAAUCGAAACAAAAUGCUUUCCUAUAGGGAGGUCUAAUGCAUGCACCACAGUUGCCGCUUCUCGCUGGACAUAGGAAAAGGCGGAGCAUCGGCGAUGGGAUAAGAUGUGUAAAUAAAGGCCUUUUCACCAUUUAAUCACCCAGGCAGGAGGAGGGGGGAGCCAUAUUGCCAGGAAUAAAGCUUUGACAUGAAAAUUUGUGGCCAAAGGGAAUAAGGUAGCACAAGGUAUGAGGC
Non-coding RNA from Pelobates cultripes (western spadefoot toad), 263 nucleotides. The record is from the annotation of a GenBank genome assembly. Lineage: Eukaryota; Metazoa; Chordata; Amphibia; Anura; Pelobatidae.